RNAcentral lists this transfer RNA (71 nucleotides) under Cavia porcellus (domestic guinea pig). It matches the Rfam family "tRNA". From Rfam's summary of the family: Transfer RNA (tRNA) molecules are approximately 80 nucleotides in length. Their secondary structure includes four short double-helical elements and three loops (D, anti-codon, and T loops). Further hydrogen bonds mediate the characteristic L-shaped molecular structure. tRNAs have two regions of fundamental functional importance: the anti-codon, which is responsible for specific mRNA codon recognition, and the 3' end, to which the tRNAs corresponding amino acid is attached (by aminoacyl-tRNA synthetases). tRNAs cope with the degeneracy of the genetic code in two manners: having more than one tRNA (with a specific anti-codon) for a particular amino acid; and 'wobble' base-pairing, i.e. permitting non-standard base-pairing at the 3rd anti-codon position. Lineage: Eukaryota; Metazoa; Chordata; Mammalia; Rodentia; Caviidae. The record is from Rfam by way of RNAcentral.
GAGGGUAUAGUUGAGUGGUAGAACAUUGCUUAGCAUGUGUGAGGUCCUGGGUUUGAUCCCCAGCACCCCCA